Molecule: ribosomal RNA, 504 nt
Filed under: Triticum aestivum (bread wheat)
Lineage: Eukaryota; Viridiplantae; Streptophyta; Magnoliopsida; Poales; Poaceae
Description: partial small subunit ribosomal RNA
Source: RNAcentral
AUGAUGCUGGUGAUUUCCAGAUAUUACGCCAUGGCACUAUGGCAUCUGGUGUGGAGGCCCUACGCCGUGACCCGAUCGCUAGGACGACAGGGCAUUCGAGGGCCACCGUAUACAUUCGCCGUCGGGUCCCUGGGGGAGUGCAAGCGGAUGAUUGUUGCUGGGAGAGCAAAGCCUCUCCACGCCGGCUGCCACGACUACACCUCCCUCGUGCAACCUUUCUUCCAGAAAUGCACUUCUGACUAUGGAAAAACAUUUCUGUUUUGGCUCGGACCAAUACCGUCAAUCUGUUCUACUGACAUCGAGCUAGUCAAAGAAGUGCUCGCAGACAGGACAAACUUAUUCCAAAAGGACUACCUCAACCCUAGUUUGGAAGUAUUUUUUGGCAAAGGGCUUGUGCUUGCAAACGGAGACGACUGGAAGAGACAGCGCAAAGUUGUCCACCCAGUUUUCAAGCAAGAGAAGCUCAAGGUUAAUUUCCUAUUUCUCGAAAAUGGAUGUAUCUAG